This 44-nucleotide transfer RNA is filed under the name Nemesia sp. CRBAME000845. Its description in RNAcentral is "tRNA-Leu". Lineage: Eukaryota; Metazoa; Arthropoda; Arachnida; Araneae; Nemesiidae. The record is from RNAcentral.
UUUAUUGGCAGAUUAUUGCACUAGAAUUAGAAUCUAAUUAUACU